Molecule: ribosomal RNA, 699 nt
Filed under: uncultured bacterium
Lineage: Bacteria
Description: bacterial SSU rRNA
Rfam family: Bacterial small subunit ribosomal RNA
Source: RNAcentral
AGAGUUUGAUCCUGGCUCAGAAUGAACGCUAGCGGCGUGGAUUAGGCAUGCAAGUCGAACGAGAACGCACCUUCGGGUGUUAGUAAAGUGGCGAACGGGUGAGUAAUGCGUAAAUGAUCUACCCUUAUGACGGGGAUAACAGUUCGAAAGGACUGCUAAUACCGGAUGUGGUCCGUUGAUUUCGGUUAACGGAUUAAAGAUAGCCUCUGUUUCAAGCUGUCGCAUGAGGAGGAGUUUACGUGCUAUUAGCUAGUUGGUGGGGUAAUGGCCUACCAAGGCAAUGAUGGCUAGCCGGCCUGAGAGGGUGUCCGGCCACACUGGGACUGAGACACUGCCCAGACUCCUACGGGAGGCUGCAGUCGAGAAUCUUCCACUAAUGCGGGAAACCGUGAUGGAGCGACGCCGCGUGUGCGAUGAAGGCCCUCGGGUUGUAAAGCACUGUCAGUUGGAUCUAAUCCCGUAGAGUUAAUAGCUCUUACGGUUGAAGGGCCAGCAGAGGAAGCACCGGCUAAAUCCGUGCCAGCAGCCGCGGUAAUACGGAUGGUGCAAGCGUUAUUCGGAAUCACUGGGCAUAAAGAGCACGUAGGCGGUCGCGUCAGUCAGUGGUGAAAUCCCUCGGCUCAACCGGGGAACUGCCAUUGAUACUGCGAGACUAGAGUGCGGGAGGGGUAGACGGAAUUCCAAGUGGAGCGGUGAAAU